CCUACGGGAGGCAGCAGUAGGAAUAUUGGACAAUGGGCGCAAGCCUGAUCCAGCCAUGCCGCGUGUGUGAUGAAGGCCUUAGGGUUGUAAAGCACUUUCACCGAUGAAGAUAAUGACGGUAGUCGGAGAAGAAGCCCCGGCUAACUUCGUGCCAGCAGCCGCGGUAAU
RNAcentral lists this ribosomal RNA (168 nucleotides) under uncultured bacterium. RNAcentral's name for it is "partial 16S ribosomal RNA". It matches the Rfam family "Bacterial small subunit ribosomal RNA", at positions 338 to 524 of the family's 1533-position model. The record is from RNAcentral.